GAAGAGGCUAUAAUUCAAACAAAUCUCUGCCAUAAUAGCUAUGGGAAUACUAAACAUUACUGGCCAAGUAAAUUGCUUUCUGUAUAAGCGUUCUCUUUUUUUUUUUUGAAGUUUGCCCCAGUGUGAAAGUCUCUCUAAGAUUGGUAACUAAUGGGUAAUACACAACAUUCCAAGAUAGAUUCUGGUAUCUUGAGCCAACAUAUCAGGAGAAUGGUACAGAAAAACUGAACAUUACCAGCCCCUCUACCUUAGCUAACUGCAAAAUGAACAACUUCCAAGGACUUGCUGCUACUCUCCCACAAAAUGAAAAGUCUAUGUAUCAAGAUGUAGAAUAGUACAGCUAAGCACAAGGCUCCUCCCCAGUCAAAGAGGAGCAGAGAGUGAAGAUCACUAUCAGUAAAAGCGCUGGCCUAGAGUUCCAUCACUAAACUGAUAUGUAACCCAAGGCAGGUCUUCUUUCUUUGAGUUUCAGUCUCAUCAUCUUUGAAGUGAGAAUAACAGAGCAUAAAAGUCAAACUUGAACCAAAAAAAAAA
This 534-nucleotide long non-coding RNA is filed under the name Homo sapiens (human). RNAcentral describes it as "CADM1 antisense RNA 1 (CADM1-AS1)". Lineage: Eukaryota; Metazoa; Chordata; Mammalia; Primates; Hominidae. The record is from RNAcentral.